Corapipo altera (White-ruffed manakin) is the source of this 1659-nucleotide long non-coding RNA. RefSeq lists it as uncharacterized. The transcript is spliced from 7 exons. Lineage: Eukaryota; Metazoa; Chordata; Aves; Passeriformes; Pipridae. The record is from RefSeq and is a predicted model, not a curated record.
UGUGUGAGGGACCUUUUUCCUCCUCAGGGGCGGCUGUGUGAGGGACCUUUUCCUUUCUCAAGGGUGGUUGUGUGAGGGGCUUUUCCCCACCCUCAGGGGCAGCUGUGUGAGGGGCUUUUCUCCCCGCUCAGGGGUUGCUGUGUGAAGGGCUCUUCUCCCCCUCAUCAGAGGUGUAGUCGUCAGAGGCCUUUCCCUCCCCUCAGGGGCAAGUGUGUGAGGGGUUUUCUGCCCCCCUCAGGUGCUCACCAUGUCCCUGCCAGCAAAGAGGUGUGGAAGGCCCCCGGUGUUGUCCUUCCUGGAAAAGAAAAAGAGAAAGCAAAGUCUUGAUAGAAGAAGGGGCAAAACGAGGAUUUAUGUGGGAAAUCACAUUGAGCGAUGGCUGACCCUUAAGGAGAAGCUGGAUUUCAGGAACGAUGCAGAAGUUGCAGGGUUUUUGUUGGAUUUGUAUGACAGCUAUGACCUAUUGUCCAAAGCCUCGCUCUGUCCCCUCCCUGAGGGUGUCAGGAGGAUCACUGUGAAGGAAGAAAGAGCUUUGUCAGACAGCACAUCUUUAAUAGCAGCAGAUGGAACGUAUGACAAUGAGGAGCAGCUGCCUAAAGAAUCUGCUUGUUCUGGGCUGGGAGAUGUGAGAGUUGUGACUGUGAAGGAGGAGCAAGAGACACCCCAGGACUGUGUGUUGGCACGGGCAGAUGACACGUUAGUGACACUCUGGUCCUUUGCAUGUUUUGCAUUCGAAAGUAUUUUGAUUUUAUUAUCACAUUUAAUUUUGUUUAUUAGAAGUUCAUGUCAUUCAUGCUCUGAUUCAUUAUCUAAAAACGUCUCGGUGCAUAAUAGAUGGUCCAGUUCUUCUGAGGCAAAAAUCUGAGGGAUUUUGGAAAAGUUGUAAGAGUACACACAGCAAAAAUAUUUGUUCAGUGACUGCCUUCCCUAAUUGUAGACAAGGUCCUGAGUGAACAAGGAAAGAGCCAGUGCUUUACAUGUAUCCUCCUCAGCAGUUGGAUAUUUACAGAAGUACAAUGUCCAGGCAAGUGCAGCUGCAUGUGCUUUAACCUUUCUCAGAAGAAAAAUGUUUCACUGUUGUCUGAGUGUUGUUACACACUAAGUGAUGUGUUAAACUAUCUAAAAAUAGUGCUGUGCUCAGCGAGGCCACCCCACCAUCGGCUGCUGGUCUGUGUUACUGCAGAGUCUCCAGUAACUGAGGCAUUCCCACUGAGAUCAGAGGAGCCUCCAAUAGGGGGACACAGAGGCCGUAGGACAUUGCACUGGCAUUGCAUGAUGUGUCCAAACCCCUGGCUAAGAUGGUGAAUAGGUGAACAACCUGAGGUUCUGAAAGCAGUUCUGUGGCACAGAAGAAUUCUUGGAAGCUAGGGCAGGAGAAAACAAAUACCAGUGCUGAUGAAGCUGACAAAUUCAAGUACAUUCUUCAAAACAGCAUUUUUCACUGGCAAUGUAAUUUUAGUUUGGAGUGCAGCAAUAAUUGAAUUCCUGCCACUGAUUUGAUACAGGGUGAGCAGCAAGAAGAAAAUCGAGCUCUUGCAUAACAAUACUGGGGCAGUUUUUUGGUCUGUUUUGAUUUUUGCUGUGAGGGUAUUGUGAACUGUAAGUUGUAUGAAACUCCAUGUUAUGUGUAGAACAGCACAUUAAACUUAAUUCCCUGAA